AUUCCAUGAUGAGGGCACUUUCGUAAUAAUCUUUUGUACCUUUCCCAUGCCUCAAACAAGGACUCGUCAUCCAUUUGUUGGAAAGUAGUGAUCUAAUUCCUCAACUU
Gossypium raimondii (Peruvian cotton) is the source of this 107-nucleotide small nucleolar RNA. It matches the Rfam family "Plant small nucleolar RNA R71". Rfam says of the family: R71 is a member of the C/D box family of snoRNAs containing the C (UGAUGA) and D (CUGA) box motifs. Multiple nearly identical copies of this snoRNA have been identified in Arabidopsis, and it is thought to function as a 2'-O-ribose methylation guide for 18S ribosomal RNA. The record is from Rfam. NCBI's taxonomy places the organism in Eukaryota, Viridiplantae, Streptophyta, Magnoliopsida, Malvales, Malvaceae.